GACGAACGCUGGCGGCGUGCUUAACACAUGCAAGUCGAACGGAAAGGCCCUGCUUUUGUUGGGUGCUCGAGUGGCGAACGGGUGUGUAACACGUGAGUAACCUGCCCUUGACUUUGGGGUAACUUCAGGAAACUGGUGCUAAUACCUGAUAGGAGCUCCUGCUGCAUGGUGGGGGUUGGAAAGUUUCGGCGGUUGGGGAUAGACUGGCGGCUUAUCAGCUUGUUGGUGGGGUAGUGGCUUACCAAGGCAUUGACGGGUAGCCGGCCUGAGAGGGUGGCCGGGCACAAUGGGACUGAGAGAGGGACCAGACUCGUACGGGGGGCAGCAGGGGGAACUAUGACACAAUGGGCGGGAGCCUGAUACGGAAGCGCCGCGGGCGGGAUGAGGGCCUUCGGGUGGUAAACCGCUUUCGCCUGUGACGAAGCGUGAGUGACGGUAAUGGGUAAAGAAGCACCGGCUAACUACGUG
This 468-nucleotide ribosomal RNA is filed under the name uncultured bacterium. RNAcentral describes it as "partial 16S ribosomal RNA". It matches the Rfam family "Bacterial small subunit ribosomal RNA", at positions 28 to 507 of the family's 1533-position model. The record is from RNAcentral.